AAUUUGUGUUAUGAUGUCGGUUUGUUUGUGGCUGUGGGCGAUUAAUUAACCGUUAGUAUGAAAUAACGGCCGAUAAAUGUUACAAGAGUAUUAUUUAAAAUACAUAUAGUUUUCUUAAAUGCUGUUCUGCACGAACGUAAUUUAUUAGAUGAAAUUAAUUUUUAGUCGUAACUAAAUAGCCAUCAUAAGCACUGAUUAGGAUACGUGCAUAUAGUCACCUCAGUUUGGAGUAAUGUGGUAUUCUCAACGUAUGUGCAUCCCAAAUACUAACAAAGAAGAAAAAAGUGCUCUACUUAAGAUGUUCUGCCUUUUGUCCAUCGUAAUAAGCCAGCUAUAAACAUAGCAAGGAUGAAGAGCAUAGCUGAUUAUUUCCACAUUCCAGAGAAGAUCUGUGCUAACAGCUUUGAAGUCACAGACAGCAUGGAGACUAAUAGUAGUCAAAAUAGUCAUAUUUUUGUACAGAAAGUUAAAUUGAACAUCCAAUUAAAAGAAUCCUCAGAAACUUGUACAUUAACUUCUCAGGUGGUAAAAAAAGCAUCAUCAGAGAAAAAUCAGAGGGUAAAUGUAGCAGAUAAUGUCUGCAAGGAUAGCACCUCUCAGGAAAAGGAUACUGAUGCAACUGCCAACAAUUUAUUGAAAGGCAAAGAUGACAAUGUUGCUCAUGAAAUGAGGAUGAAGAAUAUUGGUAAAAGGAAGAGUGUGGCAGCACUUGAGAAGCCAGCGUCAAAGCAAAUUAAAAGACUGAAACAUUCAUAUGUCAUUGUAGAAUCAGAUAGUGUGGAUGAUGAUGACGAUGAUAAUGUUAUUGAUGAUGAUGAUGAUGAUGAUGAUGAAGACAAUUGUGGUGGUG
Molecule: long non-coding RNA, 850 nt
Organism: Schistocerca americana (American grasshopper)
Lineage: Eukaryota; Metazoa; Arthropoda; Insecta; Orthoptera; Acrididae
Exons: 3
Source: RefSeq, a predicted model, not a curated record